AGCCGGCUAGUUUAAUAAAAAUAUUUGAUUUCGGCUCAAAAGCCUAUGGUUAAAGUCCAUAGCCGCCUA
This 69-nucleotide transfer RNA is filed under the name Datnioides campbelli. Its description in RNAcentral is "tRNA-Arg". It matches the Rfam family "tRNA". From Rfam's summary of the family: Transfer RNA (tRNA) molecules are approximately 80 nucleotides in length. Their secondary structure includes four short double-helical elements and three loops (D, anti-codon, and T loops). Further hydrogen bonds mediate the characteristic L-shaped molecular structure. tRNAs have two regions of fundamental functional importance: the anti-codon, which is responsible for specific mRNA codon recognition, and the 3' end, to which the tRNAs corresponding amino acid is attached (by aminoacyl-tRNA synthetases). tRNAs cope with the degeneracy of the genetic code in two manners: having more than one tRNA (with a specific anti-codon) for a particular amino acid; and 'wobble' base-pairing, i.e. permitting non-standard base-pairing at the 3rd anti-codon position. The record is from RNAcentral. Lineage: Eukaryota; Metazoa; Chordata; Actinopteri; Lobotiformes; Datnioididae.